Molecule: long non-coding RNA, 4749 nt
Organism: Musa acuminata AAA Group (dessert banana)
Lineage: Eukaryota; Viridiplantae; Streptophyta; Magnoliopsida; Zingiberales; Musaceae
Exons: 2
Source: RefSeq, a predicted model, not a curated record
GAUCUAAUAACGUGGAAUCGAGAUUCAUAAGAGAGAAGGGAGCCGAAGAAGAGGCGGCGAAUUCCGCGACCGUGUCGCUGCCGGGUGUCGCCGUCCGAGACCCGGAGACGAUGGAGUACAACGAGUCCUCGAUCAGGAGUGCCGCUCCCAGUAUACUCCAGCCGAGAGAUUCCAUCGUUUUCCUUCUCUUCUCCAUUUUGCUAUUCGAAAUAUUUUAGGUUUCAAAUGUUUGAUCUCGUGCUAGGUGAUUGCCGAUUUUGAUGGCAGGCACGCUCGCGACGUACUGGAUUUAUGGCCGCGGUGGUCAGAGUAGAUUGCAUUUAAUUUCUUCCUCUCUUUUAUUAAGGGGAAAUGACGUUGGUUUCGGUUAGAUUCUUGGUUUGUUGUGGUUGGGUAGCCAUGGAUUGCUAUAGCAGGGGAAUGCUGCAGGAGGAAAAAACUAAGCUGAUGAAAGAAUGGAACGUAAAUAUACUUGCUUCAGAACAGUCCUGGUUUGGUUGCCGGUCCAUCUUUACGACACAGUUUUGUCCUAGGUCUAGAAAUUAUUGAACUGAUUUUUUUGUUUUCAUCUGUUGGCUAUUUUAGUUGUCCCAGAAUUGCUCGCCCCUACAAUUUUGGCCUGGAUUGAUCCUUUCCCUUUCCUACGCCAACAUUUCUUGGCUAUAAACACAUUUGUCAGCAGCAAAUACCCUUAGACAUCAUACUAUUAGAUGUCAUGUAACGUAAAAAGCAUGUAUUGGAUCUUCAUAUCCUGGCUACAAAUCUCUCAAGGUGCUGGGUUGUGUUAUGUUUGACCUGUUUACUAAAUUGAUCGGGUUUACAAUACCCAAGUCCUACAUUGAGCUGGAAUAUGGAUUUAUAAAGCAUCGUAAGUACUUUUUAGGAGGCUUAGCUGACAUGGUUUUGGGCUUGGAUCCAACAAUAUGGUAUAGAGAAAAUCACAUAUUUUACAUUACAUGUCAUCCAAUUACUAUUGUGCUUAAAAUAUAUUCAUCAAGGAGGAGGAUCUUUAAUUUGUAGGAAUCUUGCCGAGGGCAGUUUCGAUGCUUGUCAACCCAUUCAAUAAUUUUUUGCACUAUCUACAAGUGGUAUUAGUUUGGAUUCUCACUUAUUACAAUUUGGUCAUUUAUAUCAACUUACCACUAUUUUUUUCAGGUAGUAGAAUACUAAAAAUAUAUUGUUCUUUUAUUGACCUUAUAUGCAUUAAUAUGUGGCUACACCUACUUACAUGUUCCAAUGUGAAUGUCUAUCUUUAUGUAAUAGAUGUCUUCAGUGGAGUAGGUUAAUUAAAUAUGUUGAUUUAGAGGAGCCAUUACAGCAGACCUUUAUUACCAGCCAUUUCUCUGUACUCUGUGGUUAUUUUAAGACAACAAAACUCAUGAAAUAGAUGGAAUAAGAACAACUUAUUUUCUUUAUCCUACAUCUGAUCUUAAAUCUCUGUCUCCUGUAUAAUGUUGAUUUUAAAGAAGAUAGACAGGAUAUAAUCUUAUGGAUCAAAUUUGUCAAGUGGCCACACAUAAGAAUCUCAUAUGGUUGAGAUUGUCCCAAAAUUAUAUAGAUUCUGUGAGGUUCACUCGGUUUGUCCAGUUGAGGAGUAUGUGAGCUGGACACUAGUAAUAUAGAAUAAAUCAUGCUUGGAACUUUUUAAGAUAUGGUACAACUAGAUUAAUUUUUGUAUUUUCUUUUAGGAUAUGAUAGGAUUAUAUUACCUUAUAUCAUAAUGUUCUUCCAAAAGAAAGAGAAAACAUUUGUUAUGUGAAUUCUGAUAGCCAUUCAAAGCAAUCUGAUAUCGUUUGUUGGAUGUUGCAUGCUGAUUAUAAAUUGUCUAAAAUAUUUGACCUUUGAUGAGAAUGUCUAAUAAGACAUGCAGAACGGUGACUUUUCAGAAAUUAUUCUGGAGGAAGGACAAAACUUUUUUAUCAUGCUCAAUUACAAAUCUGUUAUGUUAACUUGCUGUCCUAAAUAGGCUCUUGGAAUGAUCUUAGACCACAUGAAUGUAAAAUAACAACCCAGUUUUGUUGAUUGUUUAGUUCAAUUCUGUAUGUUCGAUUGUGCCGGCUCACUACUUGUGCACAUUUUUAUUUGAAGUUAUAUAACUAAAUCAUAUAUUAAUUUAUAAUAAUAUUAAAUCUUUGUACUAUUUGAUCUCUAUUAAUGGUUAAAACAAUUUAAUGCCUGCUUGAAUUUUUAACUUCUAGUUGUAAAUGUUUUAGCAUUAUGACAUAGUUGCUGAGUUGGUGUUUUCUUUUUCACCUAUCCUGAGACUAUUAACCUUGUAAUUUGUUUCUUGUACUCAUUGAAACUCGUGUAGUAGUAAAUCAAAUAAUAGAUUGCAAUUGUAUCAGUUUGGAUAGCCUGUAAAGAUCUGAACUUCUGUAGAUAGAUGAGCCAACUUGAUGUUUGUCCAUUGGUCCUACUCUGACUGAUCCAUGGACUUGGCCAUAAGACGAGCCAUGUUCUGCAUGGUUCAUAACUUCUAUAAGAGGCACUAUGGAUAAGAAGGUCUCCUGGAGAGGUCUCUAAAGGAUUUUUCCUCUGAGUUCCUUUAUUUCUUUGGUAGUUUGAUAUCAUGUUAUCUUGGGCUGUCUAGUUUGACAAACAGAUAUUAGCAUUAGGCCACGUCAAGGACUUUCAUUCUCCAAGACUUGAAGACCAUGUAUGAUAGAUCAUGGUCUUCUUGUUAAAAAAAAUUAUACUCUGAUGAUUGCUUAUAUUAUGUUAAAGAAAUUUAAUUACUGUAAAACUAAUAUAUUUACCACAGUUGAAACCGCCACAGAUUUGAGAUUAUGGUAUAAAUUUAUCUAUCCUCUGAGCCAUAGUCAGGCAACUACAUCUCUGAAACUUUCAAAUCUUUGUAAAUCAACUAGUGUUGAUUAAUAUAGAAAUUUUCUCCUUAUAAGUCCUGAAUUAUGAGAACCUCGAUUUUCCAUACUAAGGUUUUAGAAGUCAGAAAAUUCCCUGAUUUGUUCGGCAGUUGCCAUCACUGAAGAGGUUGAAAAAAUUAGCCGCCUUCUGAUUUUGUUUUGUCCUACACAUGGCCCUUAUUGGGACAAAGUAAGCCCUAAUCACGGACAGUGCGCCCAGAUUCCUUUGUUGAGACUGCCUUCCAUUUAUCCUGUUUAUUUUAAGGAAAAUGGGGAUCACUGCCCAACCACUGCCGCCAUCCUCCCUUAACCCAGAAGAAAGGAGAAGAUAGAGGAGAGAAAAACGAGAUCAUGAGGAAAGGCUGGAAGUGGAAAAGGAACUGAAAGGAGAGAUGAUAGAAAAGAUUCCAUAAUUAUUAUCUGCAAGGUAAAUUUAUGAUUAACUAGGGAAAAGUUGUCCAUUUCUAACUGGUUGGUAAAAAUUGACCUCCAUCAAUUUCUGGGAUCUGCUUCUUAGUCCACAGUCCAAAAGUUGUCAGACUUGUGUUGGGUGUUUAUUAGACUAGCUAAAUUAAUAGAACUUUUUUUUGCAUCAUGCAGGAAAGAAGUGUGCCUGUUCUCGUCCUUUCUGCUGGUAUUGCAGACAUCAUUGAAGAGGUUUUCAGGCAGAAACUUCAUAGAUCUUUUGAGAAUAUUAGGGUUGUUUCUAACAGAAUGGUGUUUUACGAAAAGGGUCAUCUUGUUGCUGAUAAAGGUAAUUCUUUAUUUUUUUAGUUCUUCAAAAUAUCCAGUAAACAGAAGCUAAUAUUUUAUGGUUUUGUUCCUUUGAACAUAUAAGUCAUAGCCUAGAUUCUUUAAGCGUACGAAUGCUUUUGCUUGUUCAAGGUCUAUUUGCAGUUGACCUUUCAUCUCAAUAUGACAAUUCCAGAGUUGGGAUUUUUUAAAGCGCCAAAGAUCGUAUAAGAUAACUACACAAUGAAGUUUAAAAUUGAUCAUAGCUGGAAAUAUUGUGAUGAAUUUUGAUAAAUAUUUCAUAUUAAUUAUGAAAAAGCUUGGAUAUAAAAGAUGCAGAAAAAAGAUUGAUGAACUAAUCUGAGAAGUUACAUAAAAAAUUAUCUUUCUUUUUAACUAAAUUGGGGUCAAUAGGAAAAGGUAAAAUAUAAGAUUCCGGUGGUUAUCAGAUUAUCAUGUCAUAUUAUGAGAUUGUGUUAAUACCUUCACAGCAGGUUUGUUCGUGCUAGUCAGCAGGUUCAUGUACAAAUCAGCAUAGGCAAAAAACUGGCUUGGCUGUUGGCAUUUCGAGCAUGGUCUGUUAUGGUGUGUGGCCUACCUACUCUUUGCAUUGUAGGUUUUGACAAUCUCAACAUUUUCCUAUCAGUGUGGUAACCCAGGGACUUAUUACCCAAAAUACCUAAACCCCACUACAAACUGAAAAAAGGGAAAGUGAACCAUGUUCAUCCUUAAAUUAUUUCAUUCAUGAAUUUUACUAUGCAUUUUUCUACUUCUCGUGAUGUACUGCUUUGCUGCAACUGAUAGUGGUCACAUGGAAGAAUGAGCCUCCUUCAGAUAUGGCUGCUCGUAUUCAUAACAGAUUCGAAGCUCCUAAUCGUCUAACCAUGGUAAUGUUGUGGUGAAGAAAAGAACUAAUGUGAUACUUCUCGGAGAUCAUAUCACAGACCUAGUCACGGUAGCUGUUCGAUUUCUGUAAGUAAUCUUCUAGAUUGUAAUAACUCAUUGGUGUCUAAGUUUCAGGCACAAUUCUUCCUUUACAACUGUAGCAAGAUAUAUAUAUUUUUUCACCAUCGGUGGUAAAUAUGUCACAACUGUUGUAUGAUUUGGCAGACAGUUUUUUGACAAAUAAGAUGUAAUUGAAGUUCUUGGUACA